ACGUCACCACCUUCGCGUCUUUUCUGGAGAGCGCGGGAAGACACCGAGAUGAACCCAGCAGGCAAGCUGGCAGGAAGUCAGACUGCGGCCCUUGCCUGAGAGGAUGACACAGGCCAAAGGAGAGAAGGAAAACAACAAGGCAGCCAGAGCUAGGGUCUGUGCUCAGCUCUGGAAGAUGCAGCCAUGGGUGAAUCAACUCUCCUUGCUUCAAGUUUAUGCUUCAUUAGGAGAGAUAAGAAAGCCAAGGCCUGCAGCGUGUGUUAGUUCCAGGUCAGAGAUCAAACCCAAGCCAUAGUAGUGACCUGAGACACUGCCGUGACAAUGCUGGAUCCUUAACCAACUGUGCUUGGCCCAGGAUCGAACCUGCAUCCCAGCGCUCCAGAGACACCACCAAUUCUGUUGUGCCACAGUGGGAACGCUCUCUCUCUCUCUCUCUCUUUUUUUAAUUGGUGGGGGAAGAAAAGGAUACAGUGAGACAGCUCAGUCCAUAGCCCACUUCUGGUUCUUUCUGACUAUGACAUGAAGGAUUUUUCAAAUCUUUGCAUACCAGAAAUCGCUGAUUUUUCCUUUCAAAGAGGAUUGCCUCCCACCCUGUCCUUGUUCUUCCCUAAGUUCCAUCAUUAGUUUCCCAGGGCCUUGCUGGGGGAAGGUUCCCCCCUCUGAGAAUAUGGUAGGAAUGAAACUUGCUAGAAAAAUGCGAAGCAUUCCCAGCUUUGCCACCUCCACAUGGCAGCAGGCUGCAAUGCUAUCUUUGUGCCUUCAGAUAAAGAGAUCAAAGUUUCUUCAAGAGCUGAUUCCCCAGGCUGAUUUGCAUGGGGGUGGGGUGGGGUAGGGAGUGUGAGGAUAAGCAAGAUAGGAUGCAAGUGGAAAUUUCUAUUUCAAAGGUGAAGUCUCCAGCAUGGCCAGCAGGACUGGAUCUGCACUAGCAAGGAACCAGCCCUGUUCUCUGGCUGGGGGAUCAGACAUAAGGUUUAAGGCAGAGUCUGACCUCAGUCUAGAAUUCUGGGAUGUCUACACUGGAAGGUGCCUUAGGCCUAGCUAAGCCAACCCACUCAUUUUACAGAUGGGGAUAUUGAGGUCUCAGAAGUGGCAGACUAGACCUGGAGACGAGUGCUCUUGACUUUUUUCCUGAAAUAUAUUUGAUAUAUAAUAUUGUGUAAUUGUGUAAAUUUAGGGGAUAUAACAUGUUAAUUUGAUGCAUUUUUAUAUUGUAAUAUGAUUGCCAUUGUAGCAAUAAUUAGCACCUCUGUCAUGAUAACUAUCCUUUAUUUUUAGUGGUUGGACCAUUAAGUUCUAGUCUCUCAGUAAAAUUUUUUAAUUUUGUCUUUUUAGGGCCACACCCGUGGCAUAGGGAGGUUCCCAGGCUAGGGGUCCAAUCGGAGCUGUAGCUGCCGGUCAACACCACAGCCACAGCAAUGCCGGAUCCGAGCUGCAUCUGUGACCUGCACCACAGUUCACUGCAAUGCUGGCUCCUUAACCUAAUAAGCAAGGCCAGGGAUCGAACCUGUGUCCUCAUGGAUACUAGUCAGAUUCGUUACCACUGAGCCACGAAGGGAACUCCAUCUCAGUAAAUUUGAUGAUUAUUAUAUUGCUGUCUAUAUUCACUAUACUGUGCAUUAAAUCUCUAGGGCUUAUUUACUACUCGUUGCAACUUCUCUUGGCUUUAUGUCCAGUGUACUUUCCAUGACCUCUUGCUGUUUUCAUCCACUAGUGUGUGAGUAUAUGGGUAUAGAUUCAUCAAUAAAUAAAACUUGAGAGAUUAAUAAAAC
Molecule: long non-coding RNA, 1769 nt
Filed under: Sus scrofa (pig)
Lineage: Eukaryota; Metazoa; Chordata; Mammalia; Artiodactyla; Suidae
Description: lncRNA (ENSSSCG00030035524.1)
Source: RNAcentral